GACACUGAUGACAGUGGGGUGGGGAUUCCUGGUUUCAACAGUACUGCAACCACCGUGAUCCUCACAGCCUCUGACACCCAUGAACACACCAGUGAUGA
Molecule: long non-coding RNA, 98 nt
Organism: Sinocyclocheilus grahami
Lineage: Eukaryota; Metazoa; Chordata; Actinopteri; Cypriniformes; Cyprinidae
Exons: 3
Source: RefSeq, a predicted model, not a curated record